CUGCCUCACAGCCCCCAGCCGACCUUCCCCGCUGCGUCUGGCCUGCAGCUGGGCCGUUCCACAGGGCCUUCUGCUGAAGCUCGGCCCUAAAGAUGGUGGGGUGCAUUCAUCUAUGCAGGUGUGCAGCAUGGUUUUAGGUUCGCCAUGGGAAGGGCUGGCUGGCUAGGUGCUGGAAAUGCUGUGAGAGGUAUUUGUGGACAGAAGACAAAGCUCCUUUUUGCUGAAUGAGCAGCCACGGGCUGAGCCCUCUCAAUUAGAAUACAUUAAACCCUGCAUGCCAUGACUUGAGUGAACCACUGAACCCAGGACCAGCACAAACACCUUCAUCUCAGGAGAUGGCAGAAACAUCCAGGGAUAACUAAGAGUUUUUGUCUCCUGAAAUGCAAGUGAAAACUGAUAAGAGUCCAAUGGCAGCAAAGUUAAACGUGCAGGGAGAGUGGAUGCUCAUGGGACAGCAAACAGGCAGGAACAGGUGUGUUCGGUGUGCCAAUGCGCUCUCUUCGGUCACUAGAUGGCAAUAAAGACCCAACGUGGUCUUCCAGGGCAGCGGGGAGGAUAGUAGAGCUCGGCCUGGAUUUCCCCAGGAGACAGAACUGGAAGAUACUAGAGAAGACAAGAACGAGAAGCUUAGCCCUGCUGGGAGUGUUUUGGAUGCAGACUAUUUGCUGGGGUAACUGAGCUCUGAGGUAUUUAAUCUCUCUCAUUGUAAAAUCAAACAAAAAAAAAUCCUCAAA
This 734-nucleotide long non-coding RNA is filed under the name Zonotrichia albicollis (white-throated sparrow). Its description in RNAcentral is "lncRNA (ENSZALG00000012391.1)". The record is from RNAcentral. Lineage: Eukaryota; Metazoa; Chordata; Aves; Passeriformes; Passerellidae.